This is a long non-coding RNA of Bufo bufo (common toad), 538 nucleotides long. RefSeq lists it as uncharacterized. Lineage: Eukaryota; Metazoa; Chordata; Amphibia; Anura; Bufonidae. The record is from RefSeq and is a predicted model, not a curated record. The transcript has 3 exons.
AAGACAUCUGGAGAAUCCUGUGGUAAGACAUCUGGAGGAGUCUGUGGUAAGACUUCGCGAGGAGCCUGCAGUAAAACAUCUGGAGGAGCCUGUGGUAAGAUAUCUGGAGGAGCCUGUGGUAAGACUUCGCGAGGAGCCUGCAAUAAAAUAUCUGGAGGAGCCUGUGGUAAGACAUGUGGAGGAGCCCAUUGUAAGACAUCUGGAGGAGCCUGUGGUGUGGUAAGACAUCUGGAGGAGCCUGUGGUAAGACAUCUGGAGGAGCCUGUGGUAAGACAUCUGGAGGAGCCUGUGGUAGGCCUGAUACUGACAUGUCUGAGAAACAAGCAUUUACCUUGUGCGCUGGAUGACCUGUGGAGCUUGUGUUAUAUGUUCUGAUUACUUGUAGGUGCUGACAUCAGGGCAGGAGAUCCAUCAGGGACAGAAGAACCAAAAGCAGCAGAUUCCUUAGGAGACGACAAGAGGAGCGCAAAUUCCUCAAAAACUGGCGGCGUCUGUGGUGCUGACAUCAGGGCAGGAGAGGAAGAACCAAAUACUGCAG